RNA transcript from Sesamum indicum (sesame), 1911 nucleotides. It is a transcript of the gene named heterogeneous nuclear ribonucleoprotein 1, with no coding region annotated. The record is from RefSeq and is a predicted model, not a curated record. NCBI's taxonomy places the organism in Eukaryota, Viridiplantae, Streptophyta, Magnoliopsida, Lamiales, Pedaliaceae.
GUUCCACUCUUGUUUCCUCACCGUCUCUCUCUCCCCCUCCUCGCGGCCGUCCUUCGCAGGAACGAACCCCAAACCCUUACUGGUUCAGACCCUCAAACCGAAGUGACUAAAUCCUCGUCUACUUUUCCCCUAUAGUACAUAGUAAAGACUUGUACUUUUGUAGAUAUCAAUGGAUUCAGAUCAGGGGAAGCUAUUUAUUGGAGGGAUUUCUUGGGAGACAAAUGAGGAGAAACUGAAGGAGUAUUUUCAAGGAUAUGGUGAAGUCGUUCAGGCCGUUGUUAUGAGAGAUAAAAUCUCUGGGAAGCCCAGAGGGUUUGGCUUUGUUGUAUUUGCAGAUCCGAACAUUCUUGACACGGUUCUCCAGGAUAGACAUGUUAUUGAUGGCCGCACGGUUGAGGCUAAAAGAGCUUUAUCAAGAGAGGAACAACAGGUUUCAAGAGUUGGAAAUUCUGGUGGUGCAAGAAACUUUGGAGGUGGUGGAAGUACCAGGACCAAAAAGAUUUUUGUUGGGGGUUUACCACCAACACUGAGUGAGGAUGGAUUCCGACAGUAUUUUGAAGCUUAUGGAAUGGUAACUGAUGUGGUAAUUAUGUAUGACCAGCAGACCAACCGUCCACGUGGAUUUGGGUUCAUAUCAUUUGAUUCUGAGGAUGCAGUAGAUAGGGUUUUACACAAGACCUUCCAUGAUUUAAAUGGUAAGCAAGUGGAAGUGAAGCGAGCUCUUCCUAAAGACGCCAAUCCUGGUGGGGGAGGCCGGUCUAUGGGUGGUGGUAGCAGUGGAGGAUAUCAGGGUUAUGGGUCUUCUAUGGGAAAUUCAAGCUCUUAUGAUGGUCGAAUGGAAUCCAACAGGUACAUGCAGUCACAAAAUUCUAGUGGUGGUUAUCCAUCAUAUGGUUCGUCUGGGUAUAAUGCACCAGGAUACGGAUAUGGUCCAACCAAUAAUGGAAUGGGUUAUGGCUAUGGAAAUUAUGGUGGUCCUGCUGGUGGAGGGUAUGGAAACCCUAAUGGUCCUAAUGCCGGAUAUGGUGGCCCUGGAAAUGCUCAAAGAAGUUCAUGGGGUUCACAGGCUCCUUCUGGAUAUGGCUAUGGAAGCUCUCAAUGGGGUGCUACCGGUGGCGGUGGUGGCUCUGCUACUGGUCAACCACAAACUGGAGCUUCUGGUUAUGGGAAUCAAGGUUAUGGUUAUGGUGGAUAUGGUGGGCAUGAUGGAACUUACGGAAACCAGGCUGCUUAUGGUGCUGUUGGCGGGCGUGCUGGAAGUGGUCCAAAUGGUAGCUCUUCUGUAGGAGAUCUUCAAGGUGGUUCUGCUGGUUAUAUGGGGGGUGGUUAUGGUGAUGGAAGUGGUAACUAUGGAGGUGGCUAUGGUGCUGCUUCAACUCGAUAAGCUCAGCAGCAACAGUUUAUUGCUUGUUUCUCUCUACGUUCCUUGCUGGAGUGUCUUAUAGUUGCAUGAGAUCCAAUUUGUGGUGCAGAGCAUGGAGAUGCUCGUGUGCUAAGGUCGGUGAAGUGUCCACUCAGCUAAAUAUGGGCAUAAUGCUGCAUGUCUUUAGUAUCUAAUGGAAACAUAGAGGUGGUUGUGGCUGGGUUGGUCUGAUGCUUCACCUUCAAACUUCUAAUAGAGGAGGUCCUGGAGCUACUAAUGGGAAUGUCUCAAUCUUCAUUCAGGUUUUAGUCUCACGAAGAAUCAAUGUGCUAACUUUGUUAUGUUGGGGGCAACAGUCUAGCGCUCAUGAUAUGAUGUAUAUGUUUCAAAGUUCUAACUUCUUGUUAGUCUGUUUGCGUUAUGGAGUAGGAGAUAGAAUUGAUCUCUUAAAUUUCUUGACAAUGUUAGCAAACUGGUCACCAUUCUAGUAAUUCAUAGGGUGUCUUUUCUGAAGCAAAUACAGUUGAGAUUCACUGCUUUUUCAUUUA